GCUGGCGACAAUAGCAAGAGUGAACCACCUGAUCCCUUCCCGAACUCAGAAGUGAAACCUCUUC
RNAcentral lists this ribosomal RNA (64 nucleotides) under Acinetobacter soli. Lineage: Bacteria; Pseudomonadati; Pseudomonadota; Gammaproteobacteria; Moraxellales; Moraxellaceae. The record is from RNAcentral. RNAcentral also lists the same sequence under 1 other name.